CUCAUGGUUUCACGGUAUUGCAAUGAAAACAAUUUAAAACCCUUAGCGAGAAUCAAGUGGAGGACAAGUCUGGUGCCAGCACCCGCGGUAAUUCCAGCUCCACUAGCGUAUAUUAAAGUUGUUGCAGUUAAAAAGCUCGUAGUUGAACCUCUGUCUGGGGCUAGUUUUGGCUUUGGUCAGGCUAGUUCUAGGCAUCCGCCUACAAGACUUAGAGGGCAUUCAGUUGUUCACUAGGAGGAGUAGGCAUUUUACUUUGAAAAAAUUAGAGUGUUUAAGGCAGGCAAUCGCCCGCAUAUAUUAGCAUGGAAUAAUAGAAUAGGACACUUUUCCAUUUCGUUGGUUAUUGGAAUCGUGUAAUGAUUAAUAGGGACAGUUGUGGGCAUUUGUAUUUAAUUGUCAGAGGUGAAAUUCUUGGAUUUAUUAAAUACAAACUAACGCGAAAGCAUUUACCAAGGAUGUUUUCAUUAAUCAAGAACGAACGUUAGGGGAUCAAAGACGAUCAGAUACCGUCCUAGUCUUAACUAUAAACUAUUCCGACUCAAUGUUUGACUGGCUUAUAUAACCAGUUGAGCGUUGUAUGAGAAAUCAAAGUCUUUAGGUUCUGGGGGGAGUAUGGUUGCAAAGCUGAAACUUAAAGGAAUUGACGGAAGAGCACAACCAGGAGUGGAUUCUGCGGCUUAAUUUGACUCAACACGGGGAAACUUACCAGGUUAAAACAAUAGUGGGAUUGACAGUUUGAGAGCGCUUUCUUGAUUGGUUGGGUGGUGGUGCAUGGCCGUUCUUAGUUGGUGGAGUGAUUUGUCUGCUUAAUUGCGUUAACGAACGAGACCUUAACCUGCUUACUAGACUGGCGAUCAUCAAUCGUUAGCUCUUCUUAGAGGGACUUUGGUUGUUUUAACUCCAAGGAAGUUUGAGGCAAUAACAGGUCUGUGAUGCCCUUAGAUACCCUGGGCCGCACGCGUCAUACAAUGACUAGUUCAGAAAGUUUUCUCCUGACCCGAAAGGGGAUGGGUAAUCUUGAUAAUACUAGUCGUGUUAGGGAUCGAUCUUUGCAAUUAUAGAUCUUGAACGAGGAAUUCCUAGUAAGUGCGGUUCAUCAGACCGUACUGAUUACGUCCCUGCUCUUUGUACACACCGCCCGUCGCUUCUACCGAGUGGGUGGUCCGGUGAGAUAAUUGAACUUCGCAGGUAACUGAGAGGAAAGAUUAUCAAACCUAUCCACCU
RNAcentral lists this ribosomal RNA (1224 nucleotides) under metagenome. Its description in RNAcentral is "SSU rRNA". It matches the Rfam family "Eukaryotic small subunit ribosomal RNA", at positions 493 to 1774 of the family's 1831-position model. The record is from RNAcentral.